UAGGGAAUCUUCGGCAAUGGGGGCAACCCUGACCGAGCAACGCCGCGUGAGUGAAGAAGGUUUUCGGAUCGUAAAGCUCUGUUGUAAGUCAAGAACGAGUGUGAGAGUGGAAAGUUCACACUGUGACGGUAGCUUACCAGAAAGGGACGGCUAACUACGUGCCACCAGCCGCGGUAAUACGUAGGNCCCGAGNUUUGNCCGNAUAANNGANCGAGAGGGAGGAGGGUNUAAAAAAGGUCUGAAGUUAAAGGCUGUGGCUCAACCAUAGUUCGCUUUGGAAACUGUCAAACUUGAGUGCAGAAAGGGGAGAGUGGAAUUCCAUGUGUAGCGGUGAAAUGCGUAGAUAUAUGGAGGAACACCGGUGGCGAAAGCGGCUCUCUGGUCUGUAACUGACGCUGAGGCUCGAAAGCGUGGGGAGCGAACAGGAUUAGAUACCCUGGUAGUCCACGCCGUAAACGAUGAGUGCUAGGUGUUGGAUCCUUUCCGGGAUUCAGUGCCGCAGCUAACGCAUUAAGCACUCCGCCUGNNAGUACGACCGCAAGGUUG
RNAcentral lists this ribosomal RNA (546 nucleotides) under uncultured bacterium. RNAcentral's name for it is "bacterial SSU rRNA". It matches the Rfam family "Bacterial small subunit ribosomal RNA", at positions 355 to 896 of the family's 1533-position model. The record is from RNAcentral.